RNAcentral lists this long non-coding RNA (496 nucleotides) under Capsella grandiflora. Its description in RNAcentral is "long non-coding RNA (CGRA_LNC000718)". The record is from RNAcentral. Lineage: Eukaryota; Viridiplantae; Streptophyta; Magnoliopsida; Brassicales; Brassicaceae.
AACAAAGGACUAGGGUCUGUUCUUUUUGAGUGUCGCUUGAGACACGUACAACGACUAAAAUUUACACACUGUUUCUCCUUUCUCUAUCGCUGAAUCUUUAUCGUUUAACUAGUUUCCUUCAUAAUAUCUGCAGUUUCGAUGCCGCUUGUUUUUUCAGCGACGUAUUACACCGGUACGGACGUCGCUGCUCUCCAUUUUUUACAAGGUUCCUUGUCGCUGAAUCCAAACUAUAUUAACGUCAAUUUAUGGUGUCGCUAGCGACAUGUAAAAGAACAUGGCCUUUUUAUAUAAAAUAACGAAAACGCCUUUUGGGAGCGAAGAAGAAUUAGCAGAGAGAUUACCUUCUGGGUUACCACGUGCAUAUCGUCAUAAAAGUAAAAACACACACACAAAAACAAGUAAAGACAAUGGAGAAAAUACUACCUUCCAUUGAUUCCUUGGUUUGCUCAUCGUGAGAGAGAGUGAGAGAGAAAGAGAGAAGGUAUAGAAGAGAGAU